This 1575-nucleotide ribosomal RNA is filed under the name Salmonella enterica. RNAcentral's name for it is "partial 23S ribosomal RNA". It matches the Rfam family "Bacterial large subunit ribosomal RNA", at positions 1243 to 2803 of the family's 2925-position model. Lineage: Bacteria; Pseudomonadati; Pseudomonadota; Gammaproteobacteria; Enterobacterales; Enterobacteriaceae. RNAcentral also lists the same sequence under 2 other names. The record is from RNAcentral.
UAAGCCUGCGAAGGUGGCCUGUGAGGGUUGCUGGAGGUAUCAGAAGUGCGAAUGCUGACAUAAGUAACGAUAAAGCGGGUGAAAAGCCCGCUCGCCGGAAGACCAAGGGUUCCUGUCCAACGUUAAUCGGGGCAGGGUGAGUCGACCCCUAAGGCGAGGCCGAAAGGCGUAGUCGAUGGGAAACGGGUUAAUAUUCCCGUACUUGGUGUUACUGCGAAGGGGGGACGGAGAAGGCUAUGUUGGCCGGGCGACGGUUGUCCCGGUUUAAGCGUGUAGGCUGGUUUUCCAGGCAAAUCCGGAAAAUCAAGGCUGAGGCGUGACGACGAGGCACUACGGUGCUGAAGCAACAAAUGCCCUGCUUCCAGGAAAAGCCUCUAAGCAUCAGGUAACACGAAAUCGUACCCCAAACCGACACAGGUGGUCAGGUAGAGAAUACCAAGGCGCUUGAGAGAACUCGGGUGAAGGAACUAGGCAAAAUGGUGCCGUAACUUCGGGAGAAGGCACGCUGACACGUAGGUGAAGUGAUUUACUCAUGGAGCUGAAGUCAGUCGAAGAUACCAGCUGGCUGCAACUGUUUAUUAAAAACACAGCACUGUGCAAACACGAAAGUGGACGUAUACGGUGUGACGCCUGCCCGGUGCCGGAAGGUUAAUUGAUGGGGUCAGCGCAAGCGAAGCUCCUGAUCGAAGCCCCGGUAAACGGCGGCCGUAACUAUAACGGUCCUAAGGUAGCGAAAUUCCUUGUCGGGUAAGUUCCGACCUGCACGAAUGGCGUAAUGAUGGCCAGGCUGUCUCCACCCGAGACUCAGUGAAAUUGAACUCGCUGUGAAGAUGCAGUGUACCCGCGGCAAGACGGAAAGACCCCGUGAACCUUUACUAUAGCUUGACACUGAACAUUGAGCCUUGAUGUGUAGGAUAGGUGGGAGGCUUUGAAGUGUGGACGCCAGUCUGCAUGGAGCCAACCUUGAAAUACCACCCUUUAAUGUUUGAUGUUCUAACGUGGACCCGUAAUCCGGGUUGCGGACAGUGUCUGGUGGGUAGUUUGACUGGGGCGGUCUCCUCCUAAAGAGUAACGGAGGAGCACGAAGGUUGGCUAAUCCUGGUCGGACAUCAGGAGGUUAGUGCAAUGGCAUAAGCCAGCUUGACUGCGAGCGUGACGGCGCGAGCAGGUGCGAAAGCAGGUCAUAGUGAUCCGGUGGUUCUGAAUGGAAGGGCCAUCGCUCAACGGAUAAAAGGUACUCCGGGGAUAACAGGCUGAUACCGCCCAAGAGUUCAUAUCGACGGCGGUGUUUGGCACCUCGAUGUCGGCUCAUCACAUCCUGGGGCUGAAGUAGGUCCCAAGGGUAUGGCUGUUCGCCAUUUAAAGUGGUACGCGAGCUGGGUUUAGAACGUCGUGAGACAGUUCGGUCCCUAUCUGCCGUGGGCGCUGGAGAACUGAGGGGGGCUGCUCCUAGUACGAGAGGACCGGAGUGGACGCAUCACUGGUGUUCGGGUUGUCAUGCCAAUGGCACUGCCCGGUAGCUAAAUGCGGAAGAGAUAAGUGCUGAAAGCAUCUAAGCACGAAACUUGCCCCGAG